This 35675-nucleotide long non-coding RNA is filed under the name Medicago truncatula (barrel medic). RNAcentral's name for it is "long non-coding RNA (MTRU_LNC000181)". Lineage: Eukaryota; Viridiplantae; Streptophyta; Magnoliopsida; Fabales; Fabaceae. The record is from RNAcentral.
GGUAGAUAAUAUUUUCUUUUUAAACAGCAAAUUUUAUUCAUAAUAAGAUAACCUAACACAAGAAGUGAAGAGGCUAUAGGGGAAAGACACAAGGUAACAAUACAUAAAGACAACUAAACCAAUGCUAAAAAGCCACAUCACAAAACCACCCAAACAACCCUUAAUACAAUAUAAUUGAACCAGUUUCCAUCAACACCACAUCAAUAGACCCCUAAAUAAUUGAACAAAAACCAGCCACCUAAACUUCCUGGUACCAGUAAAUUACAAUUACUUAGUAGAUAUUGAUAUGUCUUGUUGCAUUGAUGUUUCAGAAAUGUGUGGCUGGAGGGUAAUCUUUGGGUCGUAACUUCCACAAUAUCUUCGAGCAGCGAUUGAUUUUGGGAGGUUUGAAUUUUGGCAAGGCAGCAUCAACAGCAAAAUGUUGAGGAGCAAGCAUAAAAGCAGCAAGGAAUAACACUAAUAAGGAUAAGAAAAAGGAAUUAGCCAUUUUAAGAAGUGAUAUUAUUAUUGUGUUGGUGCAUAAUACAUAGGUAGUUAACUGGCUUUAUACUAGUUAGAGACUCAAUGUGAUUUUUUGGUCAAUCUAAGUCAUUGUGUAUGAAUUCAAUCAUUCAACACGUAGGUUCCAUGCAUUUGGAAAACUAGUUGAUGAUUAAUAAUGUUCAAUAUAUUAGGCUAUGAAUUGUUUAUGAAUUGAAUUAUUGAACAAUGUUACAUGUUCCAUGUAUUUGCAACUAGUUGAUGAUUGGUAGCUACCUAUCCUUUAAUUUUCCACACAACAAGACCAUUCAGUAAUAUUGGCUCUAUAUCUCCACUUGUUUGCCCACACCGUGGUUUAGCUGAAAAAACAGUGUACUGGAGGUGGAACAUGUUUUAAUAACAUUAAUAUGUAGAUAUUAUUAUUUAUGCAUUGAACCCUGUAUUGAUAAAAAUUCCACAUAGGUUACUUUAUUUGUCAUUUAUGCUUGAAUAUAUAAAUACAAAACAGUGUUUUUUCUUAUUAAAAUAGGGGGAUUUUAGGCUAGCUUUUGUUAUUCUAAUUAUACCCUUAAAUAAAUAAAAAAUCAAAUAAUGUAAUAUUGUUGGUAUAAUUAAAAAAAUAAGAAUUUUUGUUAUAUUAUUGUUGUCAUUGAGUAAGAUAAAUAUGGUUUGUUGAGUUUGUUACAUUUGAAAGUCACAUAUAUUUAUACUUAUAAUUUUAAUCUAUAUCAAAGAGUUUAUAUAAAAUAUCGGUUGUAAUUUACACGCAAAAUUUCUAUAAAUUAUCGUAGAUAAUCUAUACACGUUAACGUAUUAAAAAGAGUAGAAAGAUGCGCAUGUGACUGCCCGUAUUUUGGUCCCUUAACUUCUCUCUCUUACACAUUUUGGUCCUUUCCAUUAGUUUAAUUCAAAAACGUUGAAUUUUCUUCAUCUUCUUCUCCUCUUUUUCAUCUUCAUAUCAUCUCCAUCAACCUUCAACAACAAGAAUCCCAAAAAAAAUUAUAGAAGAAAAUGAAGAAAACCUAACGUUUUUGAAUUAAAACUAACGGAAAUGGCCAAAAUGUGUAACAGAGAGAAGUUAUGAGACCAAAAUAAAUCGAAUUUUAAUUAAGGGAUCAAAGCGAUACUACCUAAAUAGUUAAGGGACCAAAAAUGCAAUUUAGCCUAUAAUCUAAUAUCAUCGUUAUUAAAUAUUAUUUUAUAAUCUAAUAUCAUUGUUAUUAAAUUUUAUAGCAAGUAUCAAACGAAGAACCGAGAGUUGUUGUUUGAUAUUGUUAUUUAAUCAUGUCUCGUAUAUCAAAGGAAGGAUCGAGAGGUAAAAUUUGAUAUUGGAAUAAAUGAGAUUGUAAACGAUAAGCAAAAUAUGAGAAAAAUUUUGUGACUCUUAUGACAAUAAGGUUAUAAGGUUGCACUCAAAAAGUUUUAAUGAUUAUCAACUAUGAGAAUAGGUUUAAUUACUGUUGAGAUACAUUCAUGUAAUCUGAUAGGAAACAUGAAAUAUCAAAGAACAUCUUGUCCUUAGAAACGAAUAGAGAAAUAUAUAGGGAAUGUUUAGAAUUUAACUUUAUGAUGAAAACCUCAAUCUCAUGACGCAUUUUAAUAUCUGAAUUUUAAUCUAAAAAAUCAUUGCACUUAAUCAACUUAUCUUUUUCAGCUAAUCAAGACUAAAAAUUAGAUUAGAAUUUACUUUAAGUCCAUGUGAAUCGAUAUUUUACUAGAACCGUACACUUGCAGAAACCUAUCAAAGACCCUAUUGAUGUAUAUGGAAUCGUAGUUACCUAUCAAAGCUACAAAAUUUAGAUCGGACUUGGGGGUCUUUCUAACCGUUCUUGAAGUCGUAGGGGGGUUCGUUUACCGGAUGUAGCAUCGAAGGCUUGAGUGCAGAGUUCGAAGGGGUGCACAAGUAUUCAAGGAUCCGAAGAUUCAAGAAGCACCAAAUUUAAGGGUUACUUGGAGUUUGGGGGAGUGUUUUACAUAGGAGUUGAAGAAUUAGGUUUUAAUUUCAAGGAACUCUUGUAAACACAUUGUAUUCAACAUUUGUUACAUGGUGGAUGAUCUCGGUGAAGAUGUACUUAAUCAAGAAGAGUAGAGGUAGAUCUAGAGAGGACGAGAAAGAGCAAUCUAUUAUAAAAAUAUCGGUGUGAUCUCUCUUUCCCUAUCCUCUUUACUUUUAGAUAUUGCAUGUGAUUAAUUGAAUAAUUUUUAGGAUAAUUUCUAGUGUUGAUCUAAGUUGUUUUUCAUUGAAAAUCAAUCUAAUUCAUUGAAUUAGGUUUCAUAUAAUUUGCUUAGAUCAAUUGAAUGCAAAAUCUAUUCAAUUCUUCAAUUACACAUGUAUUGUGUUUUUUAUUUGAUAACUUAGUAAUUUUGUUCAUAUAGAUUUGGUUUGAAAUUGUCUAUUGUUUUAUACAUUGUUCAAGGAAUAUUAAAGUUUGAUUGUAUAAUAACAUUUAGUAACAAGGUGAUUGCAACACUUGAAAAAUUGUUAGCUGAUAUAGUGAUAUAGUAACAAUUGAGUAAAAGUGUUAGAUCCAAUACAACAAGUACCAUCCCUAAAAAAAAAACAAAAAUACAAGUAACAAUAGAACUCAUUCGUUAUUCAUUCACGUGUUAAAAAAUUUAGCUGAAAAAACAGUGUACUGGAGGUGGAACCUGUUUUAAUAACAUUAAUAUAUAGAUAUUAUUAUAUAUGCAUUGAACCCUGUAUGAUUUAUUGAUAAAAAUUCCACAUUACGUUAUUUGUCAUUUAUGCUUGAAUAUAAAAAUACAAAACAGUGUUUUUUCUUAUUAAAUUUUUUAAUUAAUUUAUAAAGACUUUUAAUAACUUAGUGUUUACCAAUUGCACUCAUUAAUUCUUAAUUAUAGAAUAAUUGUAAACCCAUUUUAGAUCCUCCAAAAAUGAAGAAAGCUCAUUCUUAGGACAACACAAAAUGGAAGAAACUCAAGAUUGUUGGCAUAUUGGUAGACUAUUUCUGUUUGACAAAUUCAAUAAUCUAGUUUAUAGUUUAUAAGUCCGAAUGAUUAAAAAAUAUAUGUUUCAUAACUGUUUUUUCAUCACAAGUUUUAUAGUUUAUUUUAUUAGUUUGUAGGUUUUUUUUUAGACUUUAUUCCAAAUGUGGAAUAACGUUUGAGAUUAUAGUUUAUCCUUUAUAAUCUAUAUUAUAUAUAAUGAAAAUAGGGGGAUUUUAGGCUAUCUUUUUUGUUAUUCUAAUUAUAUCCUUAAAUAAAAAGAAAUCAAAUAAUGUAAUAUUGUUGGUGUAAUUAAAAAAAUAAGAAUUUUUGUUAUAUUAUUGUUGUCAUUGAGAAAGAUAAAUAAAUAUAGUUUGUUGAGUUUGUUACAUUUGAAAGUCACAUAUAUUUAUACUUAUAAUUUCAAUCUAUAUCAAAGAGUUUAUAUAAAAUAUCGGUUGUAAUUUACAAGCAGAAUUUCUAUAAAUUAUCAUAGAUAAUCUAUACACGUUCACGUAAUAAAAAAAAGCAGAAAGAUGCGCACGUAAAUGCCCGUCUUUGCACUAGUUUAUUAUAAAAAAAAUGCUAAAAUGUUCAGUUCUUUUGGUCAUACUGCACAAAUUAUUUGGUAGCUUGACAUAUAUGUUACUGAUGUAAACUUCACUCUCACUUUAAUUAUGUUACUCCACAGUCCUCUAAAAUUGUGUUUCUCUUUUUUCCCUAAAACUUCUCUUUUGGAUUAUUCAAUCCGAAUUAAGUUGUUUCUGGUUUGAAAUAUAUAAUUUGAACUGCUUCUAUAUAUGUUUUCUCUUUAUUUUGUGGCUAUUUAUUAAUUGUGUGUAUAUCUGAUUUUAACACUUUCAAAUAUUGAUCGCAUGGGCUGUGUUAGGAAUGAUAGAAUUUCCUUGACUGCAUCUUCUAGGUGAGAGCAGACGUAGAAGAAUGUACUAGAAAGGAGAGUGGUCAAGGGCAGGGGCAUGGUCCGCAAUGCUGAGACGCAGAGAGGUCGUCAGUUCCUAGACAUUAGUGGAAGUUUAGGGCGCAUCGGGGAACAUGUCAGAAAUAUUUAACUUUUUUAGUGAAUAUUUUUUUAAUUUAAAAUUUUUAAAGAGUGUCUCGAAGAUACUCGUUGGCAAGACUGAUAAGUUGUAGUUAAUGGUGUUUUUAACAUUUAAAUUCAAUAAUAUUUACGUUGUUUUAGUUUUAAUUUAGAUUCAUUUUACUGGAAAGCAUUAGUUUUUGUUUUCAUAAUCAAAAAUUUGAAGAACAGUGUACCUGGAUCAAGAGCGAGGAUAAAGAGCCAUAAAGCAACAACAUGGAUUGUUCGUGGUUCCAUCUGGGUUGUGCACUUCUUAAAAUGUCAGAAUUUCAAAAGUUGAAGUACAAGCACGACCGUGCCCCCCAACACCGUAGAAAUAAGCAUGAUUGUGCGCUUCAGAAGCACGACUUUGCACCCCUCAAAACAUGUCAAAAGUUGGAAAGGUGAUCAUGACCGUGUACCCUUGAAGCAUGACUGUGCACCCUUGAAGCACGACCGUGCGUCUUGUGCAGAGAAAAUAGUUGUUACAACCUUUUAGAAUUCUUUAGUUUAUGGCUUGUAACUCGUUUUUAAUAUAUUAUAUGAGGCUCUAGGCUAUAAAUAUACCUCACUUCUAAGGAAAAAAGAAUCUUAGAUACUUGUAAACUUACUCUAAAGUUGAAAACAUAAUUUUGCAAUGUUCUAAGUUCUUUGUUCUUUAUUUUUCAUUUCUUUACAUUUGUGUUCUUUACUCUUCUGUUCUUUACAUUUUAAGUUAUUUACUUUCAUGUCUUUUACUUUCUUGUCUUUAUAUAUUAAUCAUUCGUCUACUAUGAGAGAGAGAGAGAGAGAGAGAGAGAGAGAGAGAGAGAGAGAGAGAGAGAGAGAGAGAGAGAGAGAGAGAGAGAGAGAGAGAGAGAGAGAGAGAGAGAGAGAGAGAGAGGUGAUAUUAGUGCAGAACACAUAGCAAAAGAGAAUGAAAAAAGAAGAUCCCGAUCCUUUUCUAAAGGAGAAUCAACCAUCUAUAUAACGACAAAUUUAAACCCAUCAAGUACAAAAAAACGAUCAAGGUAAAAAAUAUAAACGGAACAUUGAACAAUUUUAUUAAAUUAUAAUAAACUUCAAAGGGUAAAAUUGGUUUUUAGAUAAACAUAUAAGGGGUUACCAAAUAGGGUUACAAGUUAUAAGCUUGUGAAGAAAACGUCUUGGUUGACUUCAAUGACUAAAGUAACUAAGACCAAAGAGUGAAUGAUUUAAUUCGGAUUUUAUCUAAGUCAUUGACCAAAAUUACAUCUUGUUACACUUUUAAGGAGAAAAAUGGUUGUUUUCUCAAUAAUGUUUUCCAAUAUUAAAUUAAUGUUGUUUUCUGCCUUAGGGAUGUUACCAAUUUGUUAUGUUGGAGUUACCUUUAGUGCUAAGAAACCUUUAGACCAAUAAAAAUAUUUUGAGUCCCUUUUAAAGUGGUAAAUACACUAAUAUAAAGUCAUUGUCAAUUGAUGUUAGGACUAUUUAUUAAUAAUGCAAUAUUUACUUGUUGUUCUUUGGUAGACACUUAAGGUGCGUUUGAUUUGUUAAAAAAUGAAGGACAGAACAACUCUAGUUGUCCAGUGUUUGAUUUGUAAAACUGUUUUAGGUACAAGACAAUUUGGAGGCAAGGGACAGGACAAAAACUCAUUUUUGUCCCUCACCAACCCACAACACAACUUUUUGUCCCACGUACAAGUUGUCUAAAAUACCAAAAUAGCAUUUUGUCCCUCAAAAAUCGUAUAAAACAAAAAAUUACUCAAUGCCAUAAAAAAUUUGUCCUGUCUUGUUCUGCCUUGUGUUGUACUGUUCUAUCUUGUACUGUUUUGUCCGGUACUUGCUGUUUUGCAAACCAAACACACCCUUAGAGGUCAUUUUUGUGGACUGUAGGUACCUAAAGCUCUAUGAACUUGGUUAUAUCAUAGAUAACGUCGUAUUGGAAAAACGGAAAUGAAAGACUCAUCUCUCACUCUACUUAGGGCUAGCCAAUUGUCAAACGCCAAUUGUCAAACUUGGUUACAAUUAAUUUUUUUUGGAAAACUUAUUUUGAAUUUUCUACAUGUCAUGAAAAAUUCAAAUUUCUGUUUUCUGAUUAGAAGAUCAAUAAACGGUUCAAUAUCAUCACAAUCUCCAAAUCAUAACUUCAUUCAUUUGCAAAUCUAGAGCACAUAUAUCACGAUUUUCUAUCAUGAUUUGCAUUGAUAUAAGUAAGUAUAACACAUAUAUUUUACUCUUAACUUAGCCAUACAUUGCGGAUUUACUUAGUAGAUAGAGUAAUGUUUUUUUUUAAACAACAAAUUUUAUUCAUAAGCUAACCCAACACAAGAAGUGAAGAGGCUAGAGGAAACACACAAGACAACAGAUACAUAAAGACAACUAAACCACCCAAACAAUCCUUAAUACAAUAGAAUAACAUCAGAAAAACCAGCCACCUAAACUUCCUAGUACCAUGAAACAAUGUCAGGUCGCGUUGAUUUUUAGGCUGGAGGGCAAUGUUUGUUUCGGAAGUUCUCGACUUUCUUCAACAAAGGGUAGUGCUUUUUGCAGAAAUCGGGUAUAUGGGGUAUAUGUACUGGUUUAUCUUUUGGGAUUAAAUUUUUGAUUUUUGGGAUUAAUGCUUCAACUGCGGGACCAAAGCUAACAGCAUCAGCAAAAUGUUGUUGAGGAGCAAGCAUAAAAGCAGCAAGGAAUAACACUAAUAAGGAUAAGAAAAAUGAAUUAGCCAUUUUAAGAAGUGAUAUAAUUAUUAGUGUUGGUGCAUAAUACAUAUGGAGUAUACUGGUUUUAUACUAGUUAGAGACUCAAUGUGAGUUUAUGGUCGAUCUAAGUCAUUUACUAAAUGUCAAAAUUGUGUAUGAAUUGAAUUAUUCAACAAUGUUACAAGUUCCAUGUAGUUGCUACUAGUUUAUGAAUUGAAUUAUUCAUUCGAUUCUCCGCGCGACUCAGGUGCAUGCCGAAACCGUUUUAAUUAUAUGAGCAAAUUAAUAAAUAAAUGGGUUGGUGCUUAUGAUGGUGCUAAGCGUUUGCAAGGAAGCGGUUGGUCGAAAGAUGAUGUUUUGGAAAAAGCCCAUGAAUUAUAUGUGAAACACCCCGUUUUCCCAACUUGAAUUUUUUUGCAUAAAUCAGAGUAAAACAACUAAACAGGAUGCUGCACUUCUUUCAAAUCUGAAUAUAGUAAAAUUACUAAUUAUCUCAAUCAUCAAAUUAAAUCUUAUUGCAGCGGAAAUUAGUUCAACGUUUAAAACAACCUUGGCACAAAGGCCUCAAUGUAAAAUCUCAUAAAAUUAUUCCAACAACAUGUUCAUAAAACUUCAUAAAAUAAUACGUAAGGAACGUAAAGCAACAACAAAAUUCUCAUCCCGUUACGUAUCAGAGCACCUAAGACACACGUGAGAGAAUCCACUCACGACCGCAACUAUUCUUGGUUACCUGCAAGUUACUCAAUUGUGAGGGCAACAUUUCCAAGCAGAAGGGGUGAGAUUUCACAUUCAAUAAUAAUAAGCAUAUAAUUCAUCAAAUUCAUUUAACAACUUAAACUUCAUCAAUUAGUAACACUAACUCUUCGCAUAAAUACUUCAUUAAUUAAUAACAUUAACUCUUCCUAUAAGACUUCAUUAAUAACUCAAUCAACUUCUAAUCAUCAUUAACUUCAUAUUCAUCACAUUAUAUACAACGUCAUACAGCACGUAAUAAUCAAAUCAUAAACAUCAUCAUAUAAAAACCUAAUCAUCACAUCAUAAACAUCAUCUUAUAACAUCAUAUAGUUCACAUCAUAAACAUCAUCAUAUAACAACAUAAACAUCACAACAUAAACAUGAAAUAAGGUUAUAAGGUUGCACUCAAAAAGUUUUAGUGAUAGUCAACUAUGAGAAUAGGUCUAAUUACUGUUGAGAUACAUUCAUGUAAUCUUAUAGGAAACAUGAAAUACCAAAGAACAUCUUGUCCUUAGAAAUGAAUAGAGAAAUAGAUAUGGAAUGUUUAGGAUUUAACUUUAUGAUGAAAACCGCAAUCUCAUGACGCAUUUUUAUAUCUAAAUUUUAAUCAAAAAAAAUAAUUGCACUUAAUCAAUUUAUUUUUUUCAGCUAAUCAAAACUAAAAAUUAGAUUAGUAUUUACUUAAAGUCCAUGUGAAUCGAUAUUUUACUAGAACCGUACACUUGCGUAAACCUAUCAAAGACCCUAUUGAUGUAUAUGGAAUCGUAGUUACCUAUCAAAGCUACAAAAAAAAUUAGAUCGGAAUUGGGGUCUUUCUGACCAUUCUUGAAGUCGAAGGGGGUUCGUUUACUGGAUGUAGCAUCGAAGGCUUGAGUGAAGAGUUCGAAGGGGUGCACGGGUAUUCAAGGAUCUGAAGAUUCAAGAAGCACCAAAUUUAAGGGUUACUUGGAGUUUGGGGGAGUGUUUUACAUAGGAGUUGAAGAAUUAGGUUUUAAUUUCAAGGAACUUUUGUAAACACAUUUGUAUUCAACUAUUAUAAAAAUAUCGGUGUUAUCUCUCUUUCCCUAUCCUCUUUACUUUUAGCUAUUGCAUGUGAUUAAUUGAAUAAUUUUUAGAAUAAUUGCUAGUGUUGAUCUAAGUUAUUUUUCAUUGAAAAUCAAUCUAAUUCAUUGAAUUAGGUUUCAUAUAAUUUGCUUAGAUCAAUUGAUUGAAAAAUCUAUUCAAUUCUUCAAUUACACAUGUAUUGUGUUUUUGAUUUGAUAACUUAGUAAUUUUGUUCAUGUAGGUUUGGUUUGAAAUUGUCUAUUGUUUUGUACAUUGUUCAAGGAAUAUUAAAGUUUGAUUGUAUAAUAAGAUUUGUAUCGUGAAUCUCUCAAUUCUAAGAUUAAGUCUCAUUGCACAUAUAUUUGACCUUUUGAUUCCUUGAUUGUCAUUGUUCGACCACGAAUCCAAUAGUCAAUUUUGUUGAGAGAGAGAGAGAGAGAGAGAGAUUGGAUGGACGGGUGAUAUUAGUGCAGAACACAGCAAAAGAGAAUCGAAAAAAGAGGAUCUUGAUCCUUUUCUAAAGGAGAAUCAACCAUCUAUAUAAUGACAAUUUUAAACCCAUCAAGUACAAAAAUAACGAGCAAGGUGAAAAUAUAAACGUAACAUUGAACUAUUUUAUUAAAUGAUAAUAAACUUCAAAGGGUAAAAUUGGUUUUUAGAUAAACAUAUAAGGGGUUACUAAAAAGGGUUACAAGUUUUUUUUUUUUUUUGAAAGAAGGGAUACAAAUUAUAAGCUUGCGAAGAAAAGACGGUUAUCAAACACAGCCUAUGCAGCUCAUGAAGCUGCCAUAAAAAUUUUAAUAGUGGGGGAUGUUUAAUGAAGAUUAGUAGUAGUGUUACGUUAUUCAUGGAGCUAUAGUUAUAAAUAAUUUUAAAGUGGGUAAUGUUUAUUGAAGAUAGGGAGAUCGAAGCGGAAAUGCUGAAAAAUGAUGAUGGAAAAAUAUAAAUCGAUAUUAUCUUUUAUUUUAGUCAGAAUUUAAAUUUGGUAUUUUUCAGUAUCCAUGUCGGCGAUUUUGACUAAUUUUGAUUAAGUAAACGUCUUAGUUGACUUCAAUGACUAAAGUAACUAAGAACAAAGAGUGAAUGAUUUAAUUCGGGUUUUAUCUAAGUCAUUGACCAAAAUUACAUCUUGUUACACUUUUAAGGAGAAAAAUGGUUGUUUUCCCAAUAAUGUUUUCCAAUAUUAAAUUAAUGUUGUUUUCUGCCUUAGGGAUGUUACCAAUUUGUUAUGUUGGAGUUACCUUUAGUGCUAAGAAACCUUUAGACCAAUAAAAAUAUUUUGAGUCCCUUUUAAAGUGGUAAAUACACUAAUAUAAAGUCAUUGUCAAUUGAUGUUAGGACUAUUUAUUAAGAAUGCAAUAUUUACUUGUUGUUCUUUGGUAGACACUUAGAGUUCAUUUUUGUGGACUGUAUGAACUUGGUUAUAUCAUAGUUAACGUCGUAUUAGACAAACGGAAAUGAAAGACUCAUCUCUCACUCUACUUAGGACUAGCCAAUUGUCAAACUUGGUUACAAUUUAUUUUGUUUGGAAAACUUAAUUUGAAUUUUCUACAUGUCAUGAAAAAUUCAAAUUUCUGUUUUCUGAUUAGAAGAUCAAUAAACGGUUCAAUAUCAUCACAAUCUCCAAAUCAUAACUUCAUUCAUUUGCAAAUCUAGAGCACAUAUAUCACGAUUUUCUAUCAUGAUUUGCAUUGAUAUAAGUAAGUAUAACACAUAUAUUUUACUCUUAACUUAGCCAUACAUUGCGGAUUUACUUAGUAGAUAGAGUAAUGUUUUUUUUUAAACAACAAAUUUUAUUCAUAAGCUAACCCAACACAAGAAGUGAAGAGGCUAGAGGAAACACACAAGACAACAGAUACAUAAAGACAACUAAACCACCCAAACAAUCCUUAAUACAAUAGAAUAACAUCAGAAAAACCAGCCACCUAAACUUCCUAGUACCAUGAAACAAUGUCAGGUCGCGUUGAUUUUUAGGCUGGAGGGCAAUGUUUGUUUCGGAAGUUCUCGACUUUCUUCAACAAAGGGUAGUGCUUUUUGCAGAAAUCGGGUAUAUGGGGUAUAUGUACUGGUUUAUCUUUUGGGAUUAAAUUUUUGAUUUUUGGGAUUAAUGCUUCAACUGCGGGACCAAAGCUAACAGCAUCAGCAAAAUGUUGUUGAGGAGCAAGCAUAAAAGCAGCAAGGAAUAACACUAAUAAGGAUAAGAAAAAUGAAUUAGCCAUUUUAAGAAGUGAUAUAAUUAUUAGUGUUGGUGCAUAAUACAUAUGGAGUAUACUGGUUUUAUACUAGUUAGAGACUCAAUGUGAGUUUAUGGUCAAUCUAAGUCAUGUACUAAAUGUCAAAAUUGUGUAUGAAUUGAAUUAUUCAACAAUGUUACAUGUUCCUUCCAUGUAUUUGCUACUAGUUGAUGAUCAGUCCCUACCUAUCCUUUAAUUUUCCACACAACAAGACCAUUCAGUAAUAUUGGCUCUAUCUCUCCACUUGUUUGCCCACCAUGGUUUAGCUGAAAAAACAGUGCAACUUGUUUCAAUAACAUUAAUAUAUAUAGAUAUUACUAUUUAUAUAUGCAUUGAACCCUGUAUGAUUUAUUUAUUUAUAAAAAUUCCAAAUAGGUUACUUUAUUUGUCAUUUAUGCUUGAAUAUGAAAAUACAAAACAGUGUUUUUUCUCAUUAAAAUUUUUACUAUAAAGAUUUUUAAUAACUUAGUGUUUACCAAUUGCACUUACUAAUUCUUAAUUAUAGAAUGAUGAUUAAAAAUUGUAUGUUUCAUAACUGUUUUUCAUCACAAGUUUAUAGUUCACUUCUCAGACGUUAUUCCAAAUAACGUUUGAGAUUAUAGGUUAUCAUUUUAAUUUCAUGUUUACCUUUAUUAUUUUGUUUAAGAUUUAUUUUUAUCCUUUUUAAUAUAUACUAUUUAUAAAGAAAAUAUAGGGAUUUUGGGCUGACUUUUUUGUUAUUCCAAUUAUACCUUUAAAUAAAAAAAAAUCAAAUAAUGUGAUAUGGUUGGUGUUAAUAAAAAGAUAAGAAUUUUUGUUAUAUUAUUGUUGUCAUUGAGAAUCAUAAAUAUUGUUUGUUGAGUUUGUUACAUUUGAAAGUCACAUAUCAUACUUUUAAUUUUUGUCUAUAUCAAAAAAUUUAUAUAAAAUAUCGUUUGUAAUUUACACGCAGAAUUUCAAUAAAUUAUCGUAAAUAAUUUAUACACAUUAACGUAAUAAAAAGAGCAGAAAGAUGAACAUGUGAAUGCUCGUCUUUUCGCUAGUUUAUUAUAAAGAAUAUGCUAAAUGUUUGGUUCUUUUGUCAUACUACACAAAUUAUUUGGUAGCUUUAUAUAUAUGUUACUAAUGUUAAUUUCACUCUCACUUUAAUUAUGUUACUCCAGAGUCCCUCUGAAAUAAUGUUUCUCUUUUUGCCCUAAAACUUCUCUCUUGCCAUCCAAAAUUUAAAACUCCCAUAUUAUAUGAUUCAUGAAGAUUUUUUGCUUCAAAACAUUGAUCAGGUCUUUUCAAACACGGACAACAAGGUAGGGUAUCAUUCCUUCCCUUUAGUGUUAUUUGAAUCUUUUUUUUUUUUCUUCUGUAAACUAAAACCUUAUAGAUUAUAUAAUAAUCUGAAUCAAGUUGUUCCUGGUUUGGAUUAUAUAAUUUGACAUGCUUCUAUAUAUAUGUUGUUUUGUUAUUUUGUGGAUAUUUUUUUAUUUUUUUUAGACAAAAGAGGAAUUAAAUUAAAAUAGAAAAGGAGGUAUAAGAUUGGGGGCAAUGACCUGACCAGUAAACCACAAAAUCAAAAUACAACAAUUUCAGUACAAAGUGGUAUACAACGAACACAACCCUAAACAAUCACUACUACGGACAAUUCAGCGAACCCACGUAUGAGCGCCAAACCGAAUUGCAAAAAAAACGUAGAGUGAGUAUUCAGAACUUCUAAAUAGGCGUAUGGAUCGACUGCCAACACAAAAACGAUCCAAGAUCAAGCAGCUCCCAUCAAAUAUCAGCAAGCAAUAAACGCCCUUUCGGGCCAACCAUUCCAGUCGUAGUUCAGUUCGAGGGAUGAACAAACGACAUAAAUGUAAAGCAGUCCACUGACAACGCAUAAAGCAACCGUAGCAGAUAAAGUCCUGCAGGUACGACAUCAACAACUAUCGUCAACCAGAGCGUCUACGCACUUAGCCCUUUCGUGCAUAUCAGGCGAAACAAGUCUUGUUGAAUCCAGAUCGAGGGAUGGUAUCCAACCAAACAUCGCACAAAUGAACAGAACCAUAACCAAAUCUUAAAUCCAGACAAACCAAAUUCAAAAUUUCAACUAAACCGGAUAGCCAGAAUAAGACCACCACCAAUCUUCAUCUUCCCGAAACAACAUAAAACACCAUUCGAUUCUUCAUGGUCUUCUUCUUUCAAACUAGUGCGUCUUCCUGGAACCGCCAUUGAUGUGAAAUUCGACUAUCUUUGCCGCCGCUUCAACUUCAAACUACUAUGCCAUUGACGCUUUUAAUUUAGUGGGAGAAAAAAGAAAAAGAUCGAAAUGAAAGUAGAAGAAGAAGGUUUGGUGUGUGUUUUUGAAGAAGAAGACGAAGAAAAAAAAAAGUUUGUGUUGUUACGUGUGAGAGGGUGUGGUGGUAAGCUUGUAUAUGAGAGAGAAAUAUAUGUCUAGAGUUUUGAUGUCUAAAGAAGACCACAAUUAAUGUGACAUUGGAAAAUGAAAGGGUGGAUGCAUGGGUACCAAAAUCUCAUAAUUAUUUGUUGGAAGAUGCAUAAGGAAGAGAGAGUUAUCCCCAAUAAAUGAGAGUGGGGAAUAGUUGAAAGAAGUGGCUUUUACAAAGUAGAAUGCUGAUUAGAAUUAACAAUUAAGUGUAGAUGAUCAACGGUUGAUGUUGAAUGGCGCCUAAAUGAUGAUCAGCAUCCAAUGGCUUGCAAAAUUGGAGAGAAAAAUGAGGGGGGAAAAUUAGGGUUAAGGAUAGCUUCGGGGGAUAAGCUUUAGUAAGUAAGAUUGUCUUAUAUACUUACAUUAUUUUAGGUCUAAAUUUCAGAAACCAUUAUUUGACAAUUUUUUUGACAAUUUUAUCUCACAUACUCACAUUAUAUUUUUACUUCUCUUUUUGUUGUUUUGGUUUUUAUUUUCAUACCUAAUUUUCCUUGUAAAUCUAUAGUUGUCUCAUAAAUUAUCGUUAAAAUUGUUGUUCAAAUAACACAACUCUUAUUUCUAAUACUCAAAAUUUGUUCAAAUUAAGUUUUUAAAGAACUUCUAAUAAAGUCAGAUUAAAGUUUUUUUGAACUUUUUAAAUACUUAAAUUGAAUUUUCUCCAAUAUACAUAUUAGAGAAAGAAAAAAAAUAAUGAUAGGAGGGAGAUGCAAAACUUAUGUUUUCUUUCUCUAGAAACAUAUUUUGAGUUUUCAAUAUCAUCAAAAUCUCAAAAUCAUAAACUUUAUUUAUUUGCAAAUCUAGAGCACAUAUAGCGCGAUUUUCUCUCAUAAUUUACAUUGAUAUAACACAUAUUAUGUUCUUACCUUGCCCAAACAUUCGGGAUUUAAUUGAUGAUGUAAAAGACGUUUUUAAAUGUAGAAUAAGAAAGAUGGAAAACCUCCAAGCCAAAUUAUACACAAGAUAUACAAAUUAUACACAAAAAUUUCAAAUUUCAAUUUUCUCGAGAGUAUUCUUAAAUGAUCAAUCAAUGAUUCAAUAUAAUCACAAUCUCAAAAUCAUAAACUUUAUUUAUUUUCAAAUCUAGAGCACAUAUAGCGGGAGGAGAUUGUCUCGUGUGAUUUUUCUCUCAUGUGUAAUCCAGACCCUCCAUUAAAUAUGUGAGAUAAUGUGUUUGUAAUAUAAAAUGACCGAACGCAAGAUAAAUUGUUUUUUUCUAAACAAUAAAUUUUAUUCAUAAGCAUUCCCGUGAGCUUAGCUCAGUUGGUACGGAUAUUGCAUUUUAUAUGCAGGGGCUGAGGUUCGAACCCCAGACACCCCACUUCUCCACAAUUAAAUUGUGUGAGCUCUAACCACUAGACUACUUGACCAAGAAAAAAAGAAAUAUUCAUAAACUAACCCAACACAACACAAGAAGUGAAGAGGCUAUAGAGGAAAGACACAGGGUAACAAUACAUAAAGACAACUAAACCAAGGCUAAAAAGCCACAACACAUGUAAAUGGCUUAUCACAGCAGAAAACAAGGUAUAUCAAUAUCAUGUGUGACUACAAAACCGCCCAAACAACCCUUAAUACAAUAGAAUCACAGCAGAAAACACCCUUAGUAGAUAUUGAUAUGCCUUGCCGCGUUGAUGUUUUAGAAAUGUGCAGGUGGAGGGCAAUUACUGGGUCGGUUAUGCCCGUUUUUCCUCGAGCAGGGAUUUAAUGAGGGCUUUUGGGAUGGUUUAGGACGAGGGAAAGGUACUGGUUUGGAUGGAGUGAAAUGGGGUAAAUGCUUUAUGAUUCCUGGAGGGAGAUGUAUGGCAUCAACAGCAAAAUGUUGAGGAACAAACAUAAGAGCAGCAAGGAAUAACACUAAUAAGGAUAAGAAAAAGGAUUUAGCCAUUUUAAGAAGUGAUAUAAUUAUUAGUGUUGGUGCAUAAUACAUAGGGAGUUAAACUGGUUUUAUACUAGUUAGAGACUCAAUGUGAGUCUAUCGUCAAUCAAAGUUAAAAUUGUGCACGAAUUGAAUUAUUCAACAAUGUUACAAGUUCCAUGUAUUUGAUACUAGCUGAUGAUCAUUUAGUAUUAUUGGCUCUAUCUCUCCACUUGUUUGCGCACAUGGUUUACCUGAAAAAACAGUGUACUGGAGGUGCAACUUGUUUUAAUAGCAUUUUUUGUUGAGCACAUCAUGAGACAACACCGACAUCCUAACUAGAUUAGUAUUUCAGGACGCCUCCGUCCUAUGCCUGCCAAUCUCUAAAUUUUAUUAAAAAAGGGUAAAAAUAUAUACAAGGAGAGUGAGGACUAGGCCAAAAUCCUCAAUGAAAAAACCAAAGGAAACAAUAAAAAAUAAAGCCUACUGAAAUCUAUAAUUGGGUGAGCCAAUUCUGUCUCUAUAGAAGUCGAAAUGCAACUCUGCACGAAGCGUGUCUAACCAAACAGAACCCUGAAUAUCAUGACCCUCGGACAUUCCAAUAUAACAUCAUUGGGAAGAUGGAGGAAGACCACUCUUUCCAAGGAUUUGAUAAUGCGGCUUUCCGAAGACUUACUUCUUCAUAUUUAACGCGGCUUUUUUGAGAGAACUUGCGUAAAUCCUUUCUUUACGGCCCGUUGAUCGUAUUCUUUGAUUCUGGCCCAUAAAUCCAAGUCAUUCUGUACGUUUUUGCUAGUGUUUUAAUAACAUUAAUAUAUAGAUAUUACUAUUUAUAUAUGCAUUGAACCUGUAUGAUUUAUUUAUAAAAAUUCCAAAUAAAUUACUUUAUUUGUCAUUUAUGCUUGAACAUAAAAAUACAAAACAUUGUUUUUUCUCAUUAAAAAAUUUAAUUAAUUUAUAAAGCUUUUUAAUAAAUUAGUGUUUACCAAAUUGCACUCAUUAAUUCUUAAUUAUUGAAUGAUUGUAAACUCAUUUUAGAACCUCCAAAAAUGAAGAAAGCUCAUUCUUAGGACAACACAAAAUGGAAAACACUCAAGAUUGUUGGCAUAUUGGUAGACUAUUUCUAUCUGACAAAUUCAAUAAGCUAGUUUAUAGUUUAUAAGUCCGAAUGAUUAAAAAAUGUAUGUUUCAUAACCGUUUUUUCAUCACAAGUUUUAUAGUUUAUUUUAUUAGUUUGUAGCUUAUUUUUUAGACGUUAUUUUAAAUAACGUUUGAGAUUAUAGUUUAUCAUUUUUAUUUGUGUUUACCUUUAUUAUUCUGUUUAAGAUUUAUUUUUAUCCUUCAUAAUCUAUACUACUACCGUUUAUUCUGUUUGACAUUAUAGUUUAUUUUUAUUUGUAGUAUAUAUAAAGAAAAUAGGGGGAUGUUAGGCUAGCUUUUUUGUUACUCUAAUUAUACCCUAAAAUAAAUAAAAAGUCAAAUAAUAUUAUAUUGUUGGUGUUAUUAAAAAGAUAAGAAUUUUUGUUAUAUUAUUGUUGUCAUUGAGAAAGAUAAAUAUGGUUUAUUGAGUUUGUUACAUUUGAAAGUCACAUAUAUUUAUACUUGUAAUUUUAAUCUAUAUCAAAGAGUUUUUAUAAAAUAUAGGUUGUAAUUUACACGCAGAAUUUCUAUAAAUUAUCGUAGAUAAUCUAUACACGUUAACGUAGUAAAAAGAGAAGAAAGAUGCGCACGUGAGUGCCCGUCUUUUCACUAGUUUAUUAUAAAGAAAAUGUUAAAAUGUUCAAUUAUUUUGGUCAUACUGCACGAAUUAUUUGGUAGCCUGGCAUAUAUGUUACUAAUGUUAAUUUCACUCUCACUUUAAUUAUGUUACUCCACAGUCCUCUAAAAUCGUGUUUCUCUUUUUGCCCUAAAACUUCUCUUUUAUGUUACUCCACAAUCCUCUAAAAUCGUGUUUCUCUUUUUGCCCUAAAACUUCUCUUUUUGAUUAUUCAAUCCGAAUCAAGUUGAUCUGGUUUGGAUUAUAUAAUUUGAACUGCUUUUAUAUAUGUUGUUUCUUUAUUUUGUGGAUAUUUGUUAAUUGUUUGUACAUCUGAUUUUAACACUUUCAAAUAUUGACCGCAUGGGCUGUGUUAGGAACGAUAGAAUUUCCUUGACUGCAUCUUCUAGGUGAGAGCGUAUGUAGAAGAAUGUAGUGGAAAGGAGAGUGGUCAAGGGCAUGGGCAUGGGCCGCAAUGCUGAGACGCAGAGAGGUCGUCAGUUCCUAGACAUUAGUGGACAGUUACGGCGCAUCGAGGAACAUGUCAGAAGUAUUUAACUUUUUUAGUGAAGAUUUUUUUAAUUUAGAAUUUUUAAAGAGUGUCUCGAAAACACUCAUUAGCAAGACUGAUAAGUUGUAGUUUAUGGUGUUUUUAUCAUUUAAAUUCAAUAAUAUGUACGUUGUUUUAGUUUUAAUUUAGAUUCAUUUUACUGGAAAACAUUAGUUUUUAUUUUCAUAAUCAAAAUUAUGAAGAACAUUAUACCUAGAUUAAGAGCGAGGAAAAAGAGCCAUGAAAGAGCCAUAAAGCAGCAGCACGGAUGGUCCGUGGUUCCAUCUAGGUCGUGGAGUUCUUAAAAUGUCAAAAUUUCAAAAGUUGAAGUACAAGCACAACCGUGUGCCCCAACACGGUAGAAACAAGCAUGAUUGUGCACUUCAGAAGCACGACUUUUGCACCCCUCAAAACACAACAAAAUGUCAAAAGUUGGAAAGGUGAGCAUGACCGUGCACCCUUGAAGCACGACCGUGAGUCUUGUGCAGAGAAAAAUAGUUGUUACAACCUCUUAAAGUUCUUUGGUUCAUGGCUUGUAACUUGUUUUUAAUAUAUUUGUCUGAGGCUCUAGGCUAUAAAUAUACCUCACUUCUAAGGAAAAAAGAAUCUUAGAUACUUGUAAACUUACUCUAAAGUUGAAAGCAUAAUUUUGCAAUGUUUUAAGUUCUUUGUUCUUUAUUUUUCAUUUCUUUACAUUUGUAUUCUUUACUUUUCUGUUCUUUACAUUUUCAGUAUUUUAUCUUCAUGUCUUUAUAUUUUAAUCACAUGUCUAUUAUGAUCAUAUGUUAGUAAACAAACUAUUCUAGUCUUGGAAUUGUUAGAAUAAUCAAUCUAAUGAUUGAAUGUUAAUCAACCCAAGUCUAGACUCUAUUUUAUAAGAAUCCAUUUUAUAAUCUAAUAUCAUCGUUACUAAAUUUUAUUUUAUAAUCUAAUAUCAUUGUUAUGAAAUUUUAUAACAAGUAUCAAACAAAGAACUGAGAGUUGAUGUUUGAUAUUGUUAUUUAAUCAUGUCUAAGAUAUCAAACGAAGGACCGAGAGGUGAAAUUUGAUAUUGGAAUAAAUGAGAUUGUAAGAGAUAAGCAAAAUAUGAAAAUAAUUUUAUGACUCUUAGGACAAUAAGGUUAUAAGGUUGCACUCGAAAAGUUUCAAUGAUAAUCAACUAUGAGAAUAGGUUUAAUUACUGUUGAGAUACAUACAUUCAUGUAAUCUGAUAGGAAACUGAUAGAAUAUGUGUUACUUAGUCAUGUAAUUUGUAUUAUUAAAAGAAUAUUAAUACGUAUUCAUUGUGUUAAUUAGUCAUUCAUUUUGUAUUCAUUAGUCAUUAAGAGAAUGAUAACAAUUUGAUGUAUAUAAUGCACUCAGAUUAUCAAUGAAAAUCAUUCAGCUAUUUUCCUAUAUGGUAUCAGCUAGGUUUUAGAUCCUCUCCUACUUCUUCUAGCCGCCCACCACCACCUUUUCUUCCCUAUACUUCCGUUAUAAACCGCCAUCCAUGGCUACCUCAACAACAGCUGAAUCAACCACUCUCUCAACAAAUUCCUCUCCCGUGACAGACACAUUUGUCUCAACGGCACCAUCAUCAAAAAUUCACUCGGCCUUCACUAUCAACAACGUGAAGUCUAUCAUUCCCGUAACCUUGCACAAUGGCAGAAUGCUUUUCAUUGAUAAUCUGAGUGCAUUAUAUACAUCAAUUUGUUAUCAUUCUCUUAAUGACUAAUGAAUACAAAAUGAAUGACUAAUUAAUAUAAAUGAAUACCUAUUAAUAUUCUUUUAAUAAUACAAAUUACAUGACUAAGUAACACAUAUUCUAUCACUCCCACGCAGUUGAUGCGGGAGGUUGUCGGACGCUGAGUCUGUCCCUAAAAUCUUGAAAUAAAACCAAUGGGAGACCCUUAGUGAAGAUAUCUACAAUUUGAUAGCGUGAUGGAACAUGUAGGACACGGAUGUCUCCACGAGCUACUUUUUCACAAACAAAAUGAAUGUCCAUUUCGAUAUGUUUUGUGCGUUGGUGCUGGACGGGAUUUCGGAUAGAUAUAUGGCACUAACAUCCUUAUUAUCUAAUCCUAAACUACAAUGCACACAACAAUUGCAAAACCCUAAUCCUUGGUUUUGAGCGGGAAAAUUGUGAUUUAACCACAUUUAAUGGCAUUUUUGAAUUUCAAAUCAUGUACCCUUUUGAAAUGUGUGCAUAUGUGCCUAAUUAAUGCAGAUUUUGAAAUUCAAAUAUCCCACCACUUGGAAUUGUGCUCGCUUCUUUCCAAGACAUGCAGUUACCCACUUCUCAAUGCAAAAGCAUCUGAACCAAACAAACCUAUUUCCUUGCAUUUUGCUCUUUCUCCCUCUCUCUCACUCCCCUCUCACGCCCAUUUUUCUCUAAUCAGAAAAGGUCAACGAUUUUCAGUCCCUCUUCUCUUCUCUCUCACUCCAGUUUUCUCUCAAAAAAAAGCCUCUUCUCUUCUCCCACGUUAUUUUUUUCUUCAUUUUCUAACAUUCUUCUUCAAUUCUCCAUCUCUCUCUCUCAUUGUUUCUCGCGUAGCUCUUCGUGUCUUAGUUUGGGUGUUCUCUUCAUCGCCGGUCAGCCUCACCAAGGCAAUAAGCAUCUUCAAGUUUUAUUGAAAGAGAAUGCUUCUAUGCAACAAAAUUUUCAAGACCUUCGAUCCCUCGGUAUGCGUUUUCAGUUUCGUUACGUUUUGAUUGAUUUUGAUUUCGCGAUUAGGAUUUUGGUAUCACCGGUGUUGUUUUGAUUGAUUUUUCCGAUUUGAUAGGAAAGGAGCUUGAAGAAGGUGGAGUUCUCAGUGAAUCGGCACUGUCGCGGAAGGUUUUUCUUUUCAUCAACGAUCUUCUCUCUCAUUCUCUCUCAUUCGCUGCUCUUCUACUAAGCUUUGAUUGUGGAACGUAUGAAGGCAGAGUGACAUCUGAUAACGAUCAGAAUCAAGGCUACUAAGCUUAGAUUAUGGCUUCUAGGGGCAGAGGAAAAUGAGGAAGAAAAAGCACCAUCAAUUACAAUCUGCUCUACAUGUAUAAUGUUUUCCGUAUUCGAAUUAUUUCAAAUUGCAAGUAAUUUAAAUUGAGUUUUAAGGUAGUUUUCUUUGACUGCAAGUAUAAGGGGCUUAUUUCACAAGGUUAUACUUAGAUGUGUAUAUUCACUAUUGAAGCUUAUUUUGAGUUUCCGUGAUGACUUACUUUAUCGAAAUCACGGUGUGCCGCCGCGAUUUAGAAAAAGUUAUAGGGUGCAGCUUUUACAAUAACUAAAAAUUAACUAAUGAUUUGCCUGAAGUUUCUAAUUCUUUUUAUUGGUCCGAUUACAGUCCCUCUCUGAUGAUUUUCUACAACUAUCAGAUUUGAUUGAAUCAACUAAGGUUAAUUAUUUUGUCCAUAAUUUUUGCAAGAUAACUCUUCAGUCUACUGUUUUAGGUCAAAAUUAAUUUAUUUUGUGUAUAGAACAAUAGUUAUGCAGACCACCCAUUUCAAUAGGAUAAUGUCAAAAUUAAUUUAUGCAGACCAUCCAUUUCAAUAAUCAAUAAUGUUUUUUUGGGUUUGUUUGUAUAAUAGCAGGUUUUUUAAGAUUUGUUUUGUGUAUAAUGUGUCAUUUCACUCCACGUAGCCAAUCUUAGUGUUUGUUCAUGAAUAGAAAGUGGCUCAUAAAACAAUUUAAGGGUUCGAUUGUUCUAUAUUAUCUUUGCUCAUCUCUCUUAGUGUUUGAAAUUAGUUCAAAGAGUGGUCUAAAAAUUCUGCUAACAUAUGAGGAUGACGCUUGCAUUGAUAGUUUUUUUUUUUAAAAAAAAAAAAAAAAUCGCAUUGUAUACACAUAAAUUCCUUGAAAUAUAAUUGUAUACACAACGUACACUACAUACGAGGUCAACUUUACGUCGCAAUAUCCAAGGUGACCUCCAGGAAUGGGUUGAAGAUUUUAAUGAAUGAUGAUAAUAGUAAUAGCAUGAAUAGCACUUCAAAUGUAGUUAUAAGGAGAUUUUCUGCAAUCUACCGAUUUAAGGUCUUUUUUAAUGUAUUUUUUUUAGAAACAAUUUAUUUUGUACCGCAAGCAUAUUUAAUUUCAAUACAUUUUGUAAUAGCAUAUUUUAUUUUGUACAGCACGGGUGGAUGGUCUAGUUAUCACAAUAAACUAAACUAGCCUUGUGAAUGGGGAAAUGUAAUUCCAAAAGCAAGUUUCAUAACCAACAAGAUUCAGAAACCGCAUUGGAACCCCUCGAUAUUCUGCUUCAGCACUUGAACGAGAUAAAGUAGGUUGUCGUUUGGAAGACCAUGAGAGUAAGUUGUCACCAAGAGAUACACAGCAACCAGAGGUGGAUCGUCAGGUAUCUAGGCAACUUCCCCAAUCUGCAUUGUGUAAACAAUCAAUGAUGAUGUAGAAGAAGAGUAAAGUUGCAGUCCAUACUCGCGUGUGCCCUGAAUAUAUCUCAGGAUGCGUCAAAGGGUGUGCAUGUGAUCAUCCAUUGGAUUGUGCAUAAAUAAACAUAUUUGUUGCACUGCAUAAGAAAUGCCAGGCCUUGUGAAGGUGAGGUAUUGUAGGGCGCCAGCAAGGCUGCGAUAUAGAGAAAGGUCUUCAAAUGGGGUGCUAGUUUUGGCUCUCAUCUUUGGUUUAGUAUCAACCGUUGUAGGACAUGGUUUACAAGAAGCCAUUCCAGCACGAUCAAUAAUUUCUUCUGCAUAUUUUUUCUGAGACAAAAAUAAGCCACCAGGAUGACGUGUGACAGCAAUACCCAAAAAAUAAUUCAACAAUCCCAAAUCUUUCAUAGCAAACUCGGAACUAAGGAGUGAUAUGAUAGACUUUCAAAGGUCGUCAGAGGAAGAGGAAGCAGUAAGAAUGAUAUCAUCUACAUACAGUAUGAGGUAGGCCAAAAGGUGGGUUUUUCCUAUAUGGUAUCAGAAAAACUCUGCUUCCCGGAACUCUGGCAGAGGUGGUCGAAAUGGUACUGGUAAUUAUUGAUCUAUAACAAUAACCAUAUACGAAGACUACCUCAAAAAAAAAAAAAAAAAAAACGUACGAAGGAGAAUCAACCAUCUGGAUAAUACAUAUCCUUAUUUUAUUUAUUUGAAUUUGAAUGGCAACCACCAAAGCCACAUAUAGAAAGAAUAUUUUCCUACCAAUCGUACAUGAUGCCCAUAACAAAAGAUAGGUUCCAUAAUAUGGCCCCAUAAUAUCCUUAUCCUUAUAAUUAUGGUUCAGAAAAUAAAAAACCUCGUUAAGUUUUAGGAUUAUUUUAAGUUGAUAAAUAUUAACGAGUAUCUUCAGAGCAUUUUUCAAACAUCUAAAGUGGUAAGAUUUUAUGAAAGUUGAGCAUUUAUUAUAUUGGAAAUUGAAGUCUUUACAUUUCUUUUAAAAAUAAUUUUUUCAUUAUAAAUGCUUAAAAGGUGCUCCAUGGACAUUCAUUAACAGGACUCUUUUAAAUUUUAGAAUGUUAGCAUUUCCCUAAAACACAUGUUAAAGAUAGAGAUAUAUUAUGGCCUCUCACGGUAGCACCCGCCUACGUAGCGAGUUUAUGGUCAAUCUAAGUCAUUUACUAAAUGUCAAAAUUAUGUAUGAAUUGAAUUAUUCAACAAUGUUACAAGCUCCAUGUAUUUGCUACUAGUUGAUGAUCACUAACUAUCCUUUCAUUUUCCAUACAACUAGACCAUUUUUUUUUAGUAUUAUUUGCUCUAUCUCUCCACUUGUUUCCACAAAUAUGAUUAAUUUUUUUCGAAAAUUUUGUUUUUUUAAAUAUGAUAUUAUGGAAAACAAAAUUCGAAAAUUUGAAUAUAUAUUAAUCUUUUCCACAAUUUUUUUAAAUAUUUCCCGAUUAUUUUUAUAAUUUUUCCAGAUUUUUUUCAUUAUUUUUUAUUUUACCAGAUUUUUUUAAUCAUUAUUAAUUUUUACAUUUUUUUUUUAAAUUUUUCAGUAUUUUUUUUAAUCAUUAUUCGUUUUUUAAAUUUUUUUAUUUUUAUUUUAAAAAAAUCACAAAUGCCACGUGGCGUUCAUUUACACGCGUGGCAUGAAAAAAAUUAAACAAAAAAAAAUUGACACGUCACUGCCACGUAGUAGAUUCUGCCGACACAUUGAGGUGAGGGGUCAAUCCUGAAGAAUCUUCAUUUUUCAAGGGUGGAAUCUAAAAAAAAAAAAUUACAGGGGCUAAAACCAAAAGUGCAUUAUAUUACAAAGGCCAAAAACACUAUUAACACUAUAUUAUUACUUCUUCUUUUUUAUAAAAAUCCAAAUAAAAAUCAUUUGCAUUGCAGCCAAUUGGCCAAAUGCAACAUGACAAGCGCAAAAUUGCUCCAUGUUGACUUGUGAGAACUCUUGUUCUAGAUAGAGAACCUUAUAGUUUUUGUUGUCACAGAAAAUGUUAAACAACUUUUUCCAUGCAAUUUAUGCGUCUGAAUCGCGCUUGAUGAUGGUGAUGAGAAUAUAUUCUGAGGUGGUGUCAUAUAUCCAUUAUAAUACGACAACAUCAAAAAGCGGCCAAAGAUUGGGAUUGAUUUCUUUGAGAGAGGGAGUUGUUGGCUUAUUAGUGGGUGAGGGAGGAAUGAUGUGAUGAAAGACUUGAUGAACCCUUGCAUGAAUUUUAAAGAGUUCGAACCACGUAUUAUAUUGGACCCUUUUUUAUACUAAACGUAACCUUGAUGAAAUUGGUGAUAAUUGAAAAUGGUGGUAGAGGGAUGGAUAGGUGUGGAAGGAGUUGGGGUUGAAAUUGUCCUUCGAGUGGUAGUAUUUUUGGGGAUGAUUCGGCCCUGAUGGUGAAUGAAGGAGAAGAGGAACGAUGGCGCUGUAUUAGGUUUACGAGAGAAGGAUGAGUACCAACAACUUACUGAUACCAUGUAAGAAUUAUAAUAAGAUAAUUAUUAGUCGUGUGUCAUUUGCAUUGAGAGGAUCCGUUGACACUAGGUGUCAAACUUUAGUUUGACAUCAAAUCUCAACCGUCUAUUAUGUCUAAUCUAAUGGUCUGUGAUUAUUUAUUAAAUUAACUUGUGUGAUCUUUUUCCCAUGUCUCACCUGAUCCCACGCCGGCUGUUCUGCUCCAUCUCCUUCAACUUAUCAAAGUUAAUAUGGCCAACAAUCAAAUACACACACAAAUUAAUUCUUUUUUUUUUUUAAAGAAGAAGAAGCUAAAUUAGCCCACACAAAUUGGCACCGGAGAGAAUCGAUCCUGAGACCUCGAGGAGGAGCACACUCCCAGAUCCCAAGUCAAUACCACCAGACCAACCCAAAUGAUAAAUAAGGAGUUAAUUCUAAAUAAGGAGUUAUACAUAUAAUUACAUAUUGUUGACAUUAAUUGUUCUCUGUGGGGCAAGAUACUUGAGGUGUAAGUUUCAUAAGAUGCAAGUUCUUUUAAGUCUAAAUUGUCUUAUACUUACAUUAUUUUAGGUCUAAAUUUCAGAAACCAUUAUCACAAAUUUUUUGACAAUCUUAUCUCACAUACUCGUACUAUAUUUUUACUUCUCUUUUUGUUGUUUUGGUUUUUGUUUUCAUACCUAAUUUUCCUUGUAAAUCUAUAGUUGUCUCAUAAAUUAUCGUUAAAAUUGUUGUUCAAAUAACACAACUCCUAUUUCUAAUACUCAAAAUUUGUUCAAAUUAAGUUUUUAAAGAACUUCUAAUAAAAUCAGAUUAAGUUUUUUUGAACUUUCUAAAUACUUAAAUUGAAUUUUCUCGAAUAUACAUCUUGGAGAAAGAAAAAAAAUAAUUAUAGGAGGGAGAUGCAAAACUUACGUUUUCUUUCACUAGAAACAUAUUUUGAGUUUUCAAUAUCAUCAAAAUCAUAAACUUUAUUUAUUUGCAAAUCUAGAGCACAUAUAGCACGAUUUUCUCUCAUAAUUUACAUUGAUAUAACACAUAUUAUGUUCUUACCUUGCCCAAACAUUCGGGAUUUAAUUGAUAAUGUAAAAGAUGUUUUCAAAUGUAGAAUAAGAAAGAUGGAAAACCUCCAAGCCAAAUUAUACACAAGAAUAUAAAACAAAGCAUUUACUUGGUAGAUAAUAUUUUCUUUUUAAACAGCAAAUUUUAUUCAUAAUAAGAUAACCUAACACAAGAAGUGAAGAGGCUAUAGGGGAAAGACACAAGGUAACAAUACAUAAAGACAACUAAACCAAUGCUAAAAAUCCACAUCACAAAACCACCCAAACAACCCUUAAUACAAUAUAAUCACAGCAGAAAAACCUUAACCAAAUCAAGCAAACACACCCAGACCUUCCCCUAACACAAAAUCAAACCAGUUUCCAUCAACACCACAUCAAUAGACCCCUUAAAUAAUUGAACAAAAACCAGCCACCUAAACUUCCUGGUACCAGUAAAUUACAAUUACUUAGUAGAUAUUGAUAUGUCUUGUUGCAUUGAUGUUUCAGAAAUGUGUGGCUGGAGGGCAAUCUUUGGGUCGUAACUUCCACAAUAUCUUCGAGCAGCGAUUGAUUUUGGGAGUUUUGAAUUUUGGGAAGGCAGCAUCAACAGCAAAAUGUUGAGGAGCAAGCAUAAAAGCAGCAAGGAAUAACACUAAUAAGGAUAAGAAAAAGGAAUUAGCCAUUUUAAGAAGUGAUAUUAUUAUUGUGUUGGUGCAUAAUACAUAUGGAGUUAACUGGCUUUAUACUAGUUAGAGACUCAAUGUGAGUUUAUGGUCAAUCUAAGUCAUUGUGUAUGAAUUCAAUCAUUCAACACGUAGGUUCCAUGCAUUUGGAAAACUAGUUGAUGAUUAAAAAUGUUCAAUAUAUUAGGCUAUGAAUUGUUUAUGAAUUGAAUUGUUGAUGAUUAAAACAGUGUACUGGAGGUGGAACAUGUUUUAAUAACAUUAAUAUGUAGAUAUUAUUAUUUAUGCAUUGAACCCUGUAUUGAUAAAAAUUCCACAUAGGUUACUUUAUUUGUCAUUUAUGCUUGAAUAUAAAAAUACAAAACAGUGUUUUUUCUUAUUAAAUUUUUUAAUUAAAUUAUAAAGAUUUUUAAUAACUUAGUGUUUACCAAUUGCACUCAUUAAUUCUUAAUUAUAGAAUGAUUAUCGUAAACUCAUUUUAGAUCCUCCAAAAAUGAAGAAAGCUCAUUCUUAGGACAACACAAAAGAGAAGAAACGCAAGAUUGUUGGCAUAUUGGUAGACUAUUUCUGUUUGACAAAUUCAAUAAGCUAGUUUAUAGUUUAUAAGUCCGAAUGAUUAAAAAAUGUAUGUUUCAUAACUGUUUUUUCAUCACUAGUUUUAUAGUUUAUUUUAUUAGUUUGUAGUUUAUUUUUUAGACGUUAUUCGAGAUUAUACUUUAUCAUUUUUAUUUGUGUUUACCUUUAUUAUUUUGAAUAAUUUUUAGGAUAAUUUCUAGUGUUGAUCUAAGUUGUUUUUCAUUGAAAAUCAAUCUAAUUCAUUGAAUUAGGAUUCAUAUAAUUUGCUUAGGUCAAUUGAUUGCAAAAUCAAUUCAAUUCUUCAAUUACACAUGUAUUGUGUUUUUUAUUUGAUAACUUAGUAAUUUUGUUCAGAUAGGUUUGGUUUGAAAUUGUCUAUUGUUUUGUACAUUGUUCAAAGAAUAUUAAAGUUUGAUUGUAUAAUAAGAUUUGUAUCGUGAAUCUCUCAAUUCUAAGAUUAAAUCUCAUUGCACAUAUAUUUGUCUUUUUCAUUCCUUGAUUGUCAUUGUUCGACCACGAAUCCCAUAGUCAAUUUUGUUGAGAGAGAGAGAGAGAGAGAGAGAGAGAGAGAGAUUGGAUGGACGAGUAAUAUUAGUGCAGAACACAUAGCAAAAGAGAAUCGAAAAAAGAGGAUCCCGAUCCUUUUCUAAAGGACAAUCAACCAUCUAUAUAACGACAAAUUUAAACCCAUCAUGUACAAAAAUAACGAUCAAGGUGAAAAUAUAAACGUAACAUUGAACUAUGUUAUUAAAUUAUAAUAAACUUCAAAGGGUAAAAUUGGUUUUUAGAUAAACAUAUAAGCCAAAUAAGGUUACAAGUUGUUUUUUUUUUUUUUUUGAAAGAAGGGUUACAAGUUAUAAGCUUGUGAAGAAAAGACGGUUAUCAAACACAACCUAUACAGCUCAUGAAGCUACCAUAAAAAAUUUAAUAGUGGGGAUGUUUAAUGAAGAUUGGUAGUACUGUAGUAGUGUUACGUUGAUCAUGGAGCUAUAGUUAUAAAUAAUUUUAAAGUGGGUUAUGUUUAUUGAAGAUAGGGAGAUCGAAGCGGAAAUGCUGGAAAAUGAUGAUGGAAAAAUAUAAAUCGGCGAUUUAUAUUUUAGUCCUUGUGAAAGUUAGAAUUUAAGUUUGAAGGGGUGCACGGGUAUUCAAGGAUCCGAAGAUUUUAAGAAGCACCAAAUUUAAGGUUUACUUGGAGUUUGAGGGAGUGUUUUACAUAGGAGUUGAAGAAUUAGGUUUUAAUUUCAAGGAACUCUUGUAAACAGAUUGUAUUCAACAUUUGUUAGACCAAGUACAAUGGCUUGUUGAAAGUGCCAUUCAACAUGUUGAAUCAUUGUAGUGGGGGGUGUUGAAAUUGAAAAAAAAAAAACUUAGUUGGAGGAAAGAGAUGAUGAACAAGUUUAACUAGCUGAAAGCCUGGCCCUCACAGACACGUGGCGCGACCCGAUUGCAUGAAACAGGCGAGUGCGAUGCACGCGACGACAGGGCGCAUGAGAGAUUGGAAGCGCAGAGAGAGAAAGAGAAAUGGAUAAAUGUUGUGACACUUGGCAUGUUUUGAUUGGCUGCUUGGAUUUUUAUCUUCUUAAUAAUUUGGACUCAAUUAUUUCAUUGUAAAUAAUUUUUUUUUACCAAAAUUCGUGAUUUUUUUUUCUCUAUAAAUAGAGACUUGGAUCAUUUGAUUUGGACACAGAAAAAAAAAAUCAAGUUUUUUCACUCUCUUAAUCUUAUUACUAGCUUUUCUUUAAAAGUUUAAGUCUGAAAUUGAUCCCAAUAACAAUCAAUUCAAUACCCAAAGUUCUUCAGAUUACCCAUCUAGCUACCAAAAUCCAAAUUAUUAUCAACACCCAAAUCAAUUUCUCAACCAACAUCCUUAAAACCCAAAUCAAUUCCCCAACCAACAUCCUCAAAACAUGCCUAAUUUUGGUUUUGCCUCAAAUUUCAAUCACUCAUCCUCUGUUCUAAACAACUUUUAUCCAUAUUAUAGAUCUAUGAUGGGAUAUCCAUCUCAAACACCCCAUUUAAUGGUUAUAUGCCAAUGGUGAAUGAAAAUUUUCAGAGUGUUAGUGAAUAUCCUGAAUUUUCAUCACAAAUAAAUAGUGGUGGAAUGACAAGAGCUAAUGAAGUCACUCCAAUUUCAGAGGAUACAACUCCUAAGAGCAAGAAAAACCAGCAACCAGGAACACUGAACAAAAUUUGGUGUUAAUUAGUGGGUGAAUAAAAUAUGGAACAUGCAUUGUUGUCGGGAGAAACCAGACAAGUGAAGCAUAUUGGGUUAAAAUUGUUGAGUAUUGUAAUGAGCAUCGCUCAUUCGAUUCUCCGCGCGACUCAGUUGCAUGCCGAAACCGUUUUAAUUAUAUGAGCAAAUUAAUAAAUAAAUGGGUUGGUGCUUAUGAUGGUGCUAAGCGUUUGCAAGGAAGCGGUUGGUCGAAAGAUGAUGUUUUGGAAAAAGCCCAUGAAUUAUAUGUGAAACACCCCGUUUUCCCAACUUGAAAUUUUUUGCAUAAAUCAGAGUAAAACAGCUAAACAGGAUGCUGCACUUCUUUCAAAUCUGAAUAUAGUAAAAUUACUAAUUAUCUCAAUCAUCAAAUUAAAUCUUAUUGCAGCGGAAAUUAGUUCAACGUUUAAAACAACCUUGGCACAAAGGCCUCAAUGUAAAAUCUCAUAAAAUUAUUCCAACAACAUGUUCAUAAAACUUCAUAAAAUAAUACGUAAGGAACGUAAAGCAACAACAAAAUUCUCAUCCCGUUACGUAUCAGAGCACCUAAGACACACGUGAGAGAAUCCACUCACGACCGCAACUAUUCUUGGUUACCUGCAAGUUACUCAAUUGUGAGGGCAACAUUUCCAAGCAGAAGGGGUGAGAUUUCACAUUCAAUAAUAAUAAGCAUAUAAUUCAUCAAAUUCAUUUAACAACUUAAACUUCAUCAAUUAGUAACACUAACUCUUCGCAUAAAUACUUCAUUAAUUAAUAACAUUAACUCUUCCUAUAAGACUUCAUUAAUAACUCAAUCAACUUCUAAUCAUCAUUAACUUCAUAUUCAUCACAUUAUAUACAACGUCAUACAACACGUAAUAAUCAAAUCAUAAACAUCAUCAUAUAAAAACCUAAUCAUCACAUCAUAAACAUCAUCUUAUAACAUCAUAUAGUUCACAUCAUAAACAUCAUCAUAUAACAACAUAAACAUCACAACAUAAACAUGAAAUAAGGUUAUAAGGUUGCACUCAAAAAGUUUUAGUGAUAGUCAACUAUGAGAAUAGGUCUAAUUACUGUUGAGAUACAUUCAUGUAAUCUUAUAGGAAACAUGAAAUACCAAAGAACAUCUUGUCCUUAGAAAUGAAUAGAGAAAUAGAUAUGGAAUGUUUAGGAUUUAACUUUAUGAUGAAAACCGCAAUCUCAUGACGCAUUUUUAUAUCUAAAUUUUAAUCAAAAAAAUAAUUGCACUUAAUCAAUUUAUUUUUUUCAGCUAAUCAAAACUAAAAAUUAGAUUAGUAUUUACUUAAAGUCCAUGUGAAUCGAUAUUUUACUAGAACCGUACACUUGCGUAAACCUAUCAAAGACCCUAUUGAUGUAUAUGGAAUCGUAGUUACCUAUCAAAGCUACAAAAAAAAUUAGAUCGGAAUUGGGGUCUUUCUGACCAUUCUUGAAGUCGAAGGGGGUUCGUUUACUGGAUGUAGCAUCGAAGGCUUGAGUGAAGAGUUCGAAGGGGUGCACGGGUAUUCAAGGAUCUGAAGAUUCAAGAAGCACCAAAUUUAAGGGUUACUUGGAGUUUGGGGGAGUGUUUUACAUAGGAGUUGAAGAAUUAGGUUUUAAUUUCAAGGAACUUUUGUAAACACAUUUGUAUUCAACUAUUAUAAAAAUAUCGGUGUUAUCUCUCUUUCCCUAUCCUCUUUACUUUUAGCUAUUGCAUGUGAUUAAUUGAAUAAUUUUUAGAAUAAUUGCUAGUGUUGAUCUAAGUUAUUUUUCAUUGAAAAUCAAUCUAAUUCAUUGAAUUAGGUUUCAUAUAAUUUGCUUAGAUCAAUUGAUUGAAAAAUCUAUUCAAUUCUUCAAUUACACAUGUAUUGUGUUUUUGAUUUGAUAACUUAGUAAUUUUGUUCAUGUAGGUUUUUGGUUUGAAAUUGUCUAUUGUUUUGUACAUUGUUCAAGGAAUAUUAAAGUUUGAUUGUAUAAUAAGAUUUGUAUCGUGAAUCUCUCAAUUCUAAGAUUAAGUCUCAUUGCACAUAUAUUUGACCUUUUGAUUCCUUGAUUGUCAUUGUUCGACCACGAAUCCAAUAGUCAAUUUUGUUGAGAGAGAGAGAGAGAGAGAGAGAUUGGAUGGACGGGUGAUAUUAGUGCAGAACACAGCAAAAGAGAAUCGAAAAAAGAGGAUCUUGAUCCUUUUCUAAAGGAGAAUCAACCAUCUAUAUAAUGACAAUUUUAAACCCAUCAAGUACAAAAAUAACGAGCAAGGUGAAAAUAUAAACGUAACAUUGAACUAUUUUAUUAAAUGAUAAUAAACUUCAAAGGGUAAAAUUGGUUUUUAGAUAAACAUAUAAGGGGUUACUAAAAAGGGUUACAAGUUUUUUUUUUUUUUUGAAAGAAGGGAUACAAAUUAUAAGCUUGCGAAGAAAAGACGGUUAUCAAACACAGCCUAUGCAGCUCAUGAAGCUGCCAUAAAAAUUUUAAUAGUGGGGGAUAUUUAAUGAAGAUUAGUAGUAGUGUUACGUUAUUCAUGGAGCUAUAGUUAUAAAUAAUUUUAAAGUGGGUAAUGUUUAUUGAAGAUAGGGAGAUCGAAGCGGAAAUGCUGAAAAAUGAUGAUGGAAAAAUAUAAAUCGAUAUUAUCUUUUAUUUUAGUCAGAAUUUAAAUUUGGUAUUUUUCAGUAUCCAUGUCGGCGAUUUUGACUAAUUUUGAUUAAGUAAACGUCUUAGUUGACUUCAAUGACUAAAGUAACUAAGAACAAAGAGUGAAUGAUUUAAUUCGGGUUUUAUCUAAGUCAUUGACCAAAAUUACAUCUUGUUACACUUUUAAGGAGAAAAAUGGUUGUUUUCCCAAUAAUGUUUUCCAAUAUUAAAUUAAUGUUGUUUUCUGCCUUAGGGAUGUUACCAAUUUGUUAUGUUGGAGUUACCUUUAGUGCUAAGAAACCUUUAGACCAAUAAAAAUAUUUUGAGUCCCUUUUAAAGUGGUAAAUACACUAAUAUAAAGUCAUUGUCAAUUGAUGUUAGGACUAUUUAUUAAGAAUGCAAUAUUUACUUGUUGUUCUUUGGUAGACACUUAGAGUUCAUUUUUGUGGACUGUAUGAACUUGGUUAUAUCAUAGUUAACGUCGUAUUAGACAAACGGAAAUGAAAGACUCAUCUCUCACUCUACUUAGGACUAGCCAAUUGUCAAACUUGGUUACAAUUUAUUUUGUUUGGAAAACUUAAUUUGAAUUUUCUACAAGUCAUGAAAAAUUCAAAUUUCUGUUUUCUGAUUAGAAGAUCAAUAAACGGUUCAAUAUCAUCACAAUCUCCAAAUCAUAACUUCAUUCAUUUGCAAAUCUAGAGCACAUAUAUCACGAUUUUCUAUCAUGAUUUGCAUUGAUAUAAGUAAGUAUAACACAUAUAUUUUACUCUUAACUUAGCCAUACAUUGCGGAUUUACUUAGUAGAUAGAGUAAUGUUUUUUUUUAAACAACAAAUUUUAUUCAUAAGCUAACCCAACACAAGAAGUGAAGAGGCUAGAGGAAACACACAAGACAACAGAUACAUAAAGACAACUAAACCACCCAAACAAUCCUUAAUACAAUAGAAUAACAUCAGAAAAACCAGCCACCUAAACUUCCUAGUACCAUGAAACAAUGUCAGGUCGCGUUGAUUUUUAGGCUGGAGGGCAAUGUUUGUUUCGGAAGUUCUCGACUUUCUUCAACAAAGGGUAGUGCUUUUUGCAGAAAUCGGGUAUAUGGGGUAUAUGUACUGGUUUAUCUUUUGGGAUUAAAUUUUUGAUUUUUGGGAUUAAUGCUUCAACUGCGGGACCAAAGCUAACAGCAUCAGCAAAAUGUUGUUGAGGAGCAAGCAUAAAAGCAGCAAGGAAUAACACUAAUAAGGAUAAGAAAAAUGAAUUAGCCAUUUUAAGAAGUGAUAUAAUUAUUAGUGUUGGUGCAUAAUACAUAUGGAGUAUACUGGUUUUAUACUAGUUAGAGACUCAAUGUGAGUUUAUGGUCAAUCUAAGUCAUGUACUAAAUGUCAAAAUUGUGUAUGAAUUGAAUUAUUCAACAAUGUUACAUGUUCCUUCCAUGUAUUUGCUACUAGUUGAUGAUCAGUCCCUACCUAUCCUUUAAUUUUCCACACAACAAGACCAUUCAGUAAUAUUGGCUCUAUCUCUCCACUUGUUUGCCCACCAUGGUUUAGCUGAAAAAACAGUGCAACUUGUUUCAAUAACAUUAAUAUAUAUAGAUAUUACUAUUUAUAUAUGCAUUGAACCCUGUAUGAUUUAUUUAUUUAUAAAAAUUCCAAAUAGGUUACUUUAUUUGUCAUUUAUGCUUGAAUAUGAAAAUACAAAACAGUGUUUUUUCUCAUUAAAAUUUUUACUAUAAAGAUUUUUAAUAACUUAGUGUUUACCAAUUGCACUUACUAAUUCUUAAUUAUAGAAUGAUGAUUAAAAAUUGUAUGUUUCAUAACUGUUUUUCAUCACAAGUUUAUAGUUCAUUUCUCAGACGUUAUUCCAAAUAACGUUUGAGAUUAUAGGUUAUCAUUUUAAUUUCAUGUUUACCUUUAUUAUUUUGUUUAAGAUUUAUUUUUAUCCUUUUUAAUAUAUACUAUUUAUAAAGAAAAUAUAGGGAUUUUGGGCUGACUUUUUUGUUAUUCCAAUUAUACCUUUAAAUAAAAAAAAAUCAAAUAAUGUGAUAUGGUUGGUGUUAAAUAAGAAUUUUUGUUAUAUUAUUGUUGUCAUUGAGAAUCAUAAAUAUUGUUUGUUGAGUUUGUUACAUUUGAAAGUCACAUAUCAUACUUUUAAUUUUUGUCCAUAUCAAAAAAUUUAUAUAAAAUAUCGUUUGUAAUUUACACGCAGAAUUUCAAUAAAUUAUCGUAAAUAAUUUAUACACAUUAACGUAAUAAAAAGAGCAGAAAGAUGAACAUGUGAAUGCUCGUCUUUAGUAAGUAAGAUUGUCUUAUAUACUUACAUUAUUUUAGGUCUAAAUUUCAGAAACCAUUAUUUGACAAUAUUUUUGACAAUUUUAUCUCACAUACUCACAUUAUAUUUUUACUUCUCUUUUUGUUGUUUUGGUUUUUAUUUUCAUACCUAAUUUUCCUUGUAAAUCUAUAGUUGUCUCAUAAAUUAUCGUUAAAAUUGUUGUUCAAAUAACACAACUCUUAUUUCUAAUACUCAAAAUUUGUUCAAAUUAAGUUUUUAAAGAACUUCUAAUAAAGUCAGAUUAAGGUUUUUUUGAACUUUUUAAAUACUUAAAUUGAAUUUUCUCCAAUAUACAUAUUAGAGAAAGAAAAAAAAUAAUGAUAGGAGGGAGAUGCAAAACUUAUGUUUUCUUUCUCUAGAAACAUAUUUUGAGUUUUCAAUAUCAUCAAAAUCUCAAAAUCAUAAACUUUAUUUAUUUGCAAAUCUAGAGCACAUAUAGCGCGAUUUUCUUUCAUAAUUUACAUUGAUAUAACACAUAUUAUGUUCUUACCUUGCCCAAACAUUCGGGAUUUAAUUGAUGAUGUAAAAGACGUUUUUAAAUGUAGAAUAAGAAAGAUGGAAAACCUCCAAGCCAAAUUAUACACAAGAUAUACAAAUUAUACACAAAAAUUUCAAAUUUCAAUUUUCUCGAGAGUAUUCUUAAAUGAUCAAUCAAUGAUUCAAUAUAAUCACAAUCUCAAAAUCAUAAACUUUAUUUAUUUUCAAAUCUAGAGCACAUAUAGCGGGAGGAGAUUGUCUCGUGUGAUUUUUCUCUCAUGUGUAAUCCAGACCCUCCAUUAAAUAUGUGAGAUAAUGUGUUUGUAAUAUAAAAUGACCGAACGCAAGAUAAAUUGUUUUUUUCUAAACAAUAAAUUUUAUUCAUAAGCAUUCCCGUGAGCUUAGCUCAGUUGGUACGGAUAUUGCAUUUUAUAUGCAGUGGCUGAGGUUCGAACCCCAGACACCCCACUUCUCCACAAUUAAAUUGUGUGAGCUCUAACCACUAGACUACUUGACCAAGAAAAAAGAAAUAUUCAUAAGCUAACCCAACACAACACAAGAAGUGAAGAGGCUAUAGAGGAAAGACACAGGGUAACAAUACAUAAAGACAGCUAAACCAAGGCUAAAAAGCCACAACACAUGUAAAUGGCUUAUCACAGCAGAAAACAAGGUAUAUCAAUAUCAUGUGUGACUACAAAACCGCCCAAACAACCCUUAAUACAAUAGAAUCACAGCAGAAAACACCCUUAGUAGAUAUUGAUAUGCCUUGCCGCGAUGAUGUUUUAGAAAUGUGCAGGUGGAGGGCAAUUACUGGGUCGGUUAUGCCCGUUUUUCCUCGAGCAGGGAUUUAAUGAGGGCUUUUGGGAUGGUUUAGGACGAGGGAAAGGUACUGGUUAGGAUGGAGUGAAAUGGGGUAAAUGCUUUAUGAUUCUUGGAGGGAGAUGUAUGGCAUCAACAGCAAAAUGUUGAGGAACAAACAUAAGAGCAGCAAGGAAUAACACUAAUAAGGAUAAGAAAAAGGAUUUAGCCAUUUUAAGAAGUGAUAUAAUUAUUAGUGUUGGUGCAUAAUACAUAGGGAGUUAAACUGGUUUUAUACUAGUUAGAGACUCAAUGUGAGUCUAUCGUCAAUCAAAGUUAAAAUUGUGCACGAAUUGAAUUAUUCAACAAUGUUACAAGUUCCAUGUAUUUGAUACUAGCUGAUGAUCAUUUAGUAUUAUUGGCUCUAUCUCUCCACUU